RNAcentral lists this long non-coding RNA (519 nucleotides) under Anas zonorhyncha (Eastern spot-billed duck). RNAcentral's name for it is "lncRNA (ENSAZOG00000019227.1)". The record is from RNAcentral. Lineage: Eukaryota; Metazoa; Chordata; Aves; Anseriformes; Anatidae.
CGGCACCGCCGCAUGCGAGGAGAGGCUCCAGCUGUGCGCUCUGCCCGCCAGCUGUGCGCGCUGCGGGCAGGGCCGGCCUCAGAGCAGUAAUCGACGAAGUGCCUUCGCAGACUUUUGCCAGCAGAUGUUAAUCAAUCAUUAUUUUUUAUACUGAAACUGAGACUUUGACUGUGCCAUGUCUAAGUGACCCAAAAACCUGGCUGCUUUGGAAACUGGAUAGUAUUGGCAAUCAAAGAAUAUAUGAGUGAUGUUUUGCACCUCAAGACUUCAUUCUGUAAGAUGUAUCGACCGGAUUGCCUACCUGUAACUCAGCUUUGUAAGCAGCCUCCCGAGGUUAGCCACGGUGGUAUUACAUGCCUUGUGCUUUGCCAGCCCCUACAAGCCAGCCAAAGUCUGUUAAAGCCUUCAGAGCACAAAACACUGAUAAGAUGGAUCACUAACAGGUAUGCAUCAGGGAUAAUGCAAAGGUGUUCCAUGUACAACAACCUAAAAUUAGCUGCUUUUGACUCAAAGCAGUAG